CCAGACUCCUACGGGAGGCAGCAGUGGGGGAUAUUGCACAAUGGGGGAAACCCUGAUGCAGCGACACCGCGUGGGUGAGGAAGCGCUUCGGCGUGUAAAGCCCUAUCAGUGGGGAAGAAAAAGGACGGUACCCAAAGAAGAAGCACCGGCUAAAUACGUGCCAGCAGCCGCGGUAAUACGUAUGGUGCAAGCGUUAUCCGGAAUGACUGGGUGUAAAGGGAGCGUAGACGGUUGUACAAGUCUGAUGUGAAAGCCCACGGCUCAACUGUGGGAGUGCAUUGGAAACUGUAGAACUAGAGUAUCGGAGAGGCAAGUGGAAUUCCUAGUGUAGCGGUGAAAUGCGUAGAUAUUAGGAGGAACACCAGUGGCGAAGGCGGCUUGCUGGACGAAAACUGACGUUGAGGCUCGAAAGCGUGGGGAGCAAACAGGAUUAGAUACCCCAGUA
RNAcentral lists this ribosomal RNA (445 nucleotides) under uncultured bacterium. RNAcentral's name for it is "bacterial SSU rRNA". It matches the Rfam family "Bacterial small subunit ribosomal RNA", at positions 331 to 792 of the family's 1533-position model. The record is from RNAcentral.